Molecule: long non-coding RNA, 348 nt
Organism: Mugil cephalus (flathead mullet)
Lineage: Eukaryota; Metazoa; Chordata; Actinopteri; Mugiliformes; Mugilidae
Exons: 3
Source: RefSeq, a predicted model, not a curated record
UCAGAGGAAACCAGUAUAAUUCAGUUCAGGGACAGGGAGACGGAGAGAGCGGUGUGUUGACAGCAAACAAAGAAUGAACAGCUGUCAGAUCUGUGCUGAAUAAGAUUGAUCAUAUGGUUGACCAUACUACGUCAUACAAUAACCAACUGGACUCGUUUAUGCGACAGGCCGGCAUUUCAAACAACAAGAUGGACAAUAGUUCAGCUUUUUAAUCCUGUAUGCACAUGCACGUGCGCGCUACUUAUGGUGCAGAUAAAAUGGCGCUACCCUUAGGUGAUUCUUCUACUGGCUCAGUUUACUUUCUUCUUCUGUGACCCUGUUUCUUGGAUGUUUUACUCCGAUUAAGGC